Molecule: transfer RNA, 73 nt
Filed under: Ovis aries (sheep)
Lineage: Eukaryota; Metazoa; Chordata; Mammalia; Artiodactyla; Bovidae
Rfam family: tRNA
About the family: Transfer RNA (tRNA) molecules are approximately 80 nucleotides in length. Their secondary structure includes four short double-helical elements and three loops (D, anti-codon, and T loops). Further hydrogen bonds mediate the characteristic L-shaped molecular structure. tRNAs have two regions of fundamental functional importance: the anti-codon, which is responsible for specific mRNA codon recognition, and the 3' end, to which the tRNAs corresponding amino acid is attached (by aminoacyl-tRNA synthetases). tRNAs cope with the degeneracy of the genetic code in two manners: having more than one tRNA (with a specific anti-codon) for a particular amino acid; and 'wobble' base-pairing, i.e. permitting non-standard base-pairing at the 3rd anti-codon position.
Source: Rfam by way of RNAcentral
UCCCUGGUGGUCCAGUGGUUAAGACUCUGUGCUCCCAAGGCAAGGGGCACAGGUUUGAUUCCUGGUCAGGGAG